GUUCCUACGGGGGGCAGCAGUGAGGAAUAUUGGUCAAUGGCCGGAAGGCUGAACCAGCCAAGCCGCGUGAGGGAGGAAGGCGCAGAGCGUCGCAGACCUCUUUUGCCGGGGGACAAAAGGCCGGACUCGUCCGGUCCUGAGUGUACCUGAAGAAAAAGCAUCGGCUAACUCCGUGCCAGCAGCCGCGGUAAUACGGAGGAUGCGAGCGUUAUCCGGAUUUAUUGGGUUUAAAGGGUGCGCAGGCGGUCUGUUAAGUCAGCGGUCAAAGCCCGGGGCUCAACCCCGGCCCGCCGUUGAACCU
This 301-nucleotide ribosomal RNA is filed under the name uncultured bacterium. RNAcentral describes it as "bacterial SSU rRNA". It matches the Rfam family "Bacterial small subunit ribosomal RNA", at positions 335 to 634 of the family's 1533-position model. The record is from RNAcentral.